RNAcentral lists this ribosomal RNA (471 nucleotides) under uncultured bacterium. RNAcentral's name for it is "bacterial SSU rRNA". It matches the Rfam family "Bacterial small subunit ribosomal RNA", at positions 9 to 795 of the family's 1533-position model. The record is from RNAcentral.
GAGUUUGAUCCUGGCUCAGGAUGAACGCUAGCGGCAGGCCUAAUACAUGCAAGUCGAGGGGUAAUUACACUUUCGGGUGUGAACGACCGGCGCACGGGUGCGUAACGCGUAUGCAACCUACCCACAACUGGGGGAUAGCCCGGAGAAAUCCGGAUUAAUACCUCAUAACGCAGGGGUAUCGCAUGGUACUAUUUGUUAAAGAUUUAUCGGUUGUGGAUGGGCAUGCGUCUGAUUAGUUAGUUGGUGAGGUAACGGCUCACCAAGGCUACGAUCAGUAGGGGGUCUGAGAGGAUGAUCCCCCACACUGGUACUGAGACACGGACCAGACUCCGGUAGGCGGAAUUUAUGGUGUAGCGGUGAAAUGCAUAGAUACCAUAAAGAACACCGAUAGCGAAGGCAGCUUACUAUGCUGUAACUGACGCUGAGGCACGAAAGCGUGGGGAGCGAACAGGAUUAGAUACCCUGGUAGUC